UCGUGGGUUGACCUGUCUGCUUGAUUGCGAUAACGAACGAGACCUCCGCCUACUAAAUACAACAGUUAUAUUUCAUAGCUGCUUGUUCUUAGAGGGACUAUCCGUGCAAGCGGAAGGAAGCUGGAGGCAAUAACA
RNAcentral lists this ribosomal RNA (135 nucleotides) under uncultured eukaryote. RNAcentral describes it as "partial 18S ribosomal RNA". It matches the Rfam family "Eukaryotic small subunit ribosomal RNA", at positions 1299 to 1458 of the family's 1831-position model. The record is from RNAcentral.